RNAcentral lists this ribosomal RNA (252 nucleotides) under uncultured bacterium. Its description in RNAcentral is "partial 16S ribosomal RNA". It matches the Rfam family "Bacterial small subunit ribosomal RNA", at positions 524 to 776 of the family's 1533-position model. The record is from RNAcentral.
UACGUAGGGGGCAAGCGUUGUCCGGAAUUAUUGGGCGUAAAGCGCACGCAGGCGGUUUUUUAAGUCUGGUGUUUAAGCCCGGGGCUCAACCCCGGUUCGCACCGGAAACUGGAAGACUUGAGUGCAGGAGAGGAAAGCGGAAUUCCACGUGUAGCGGUGAAAUGCGUAGAGAUGUGGAGGAACACCAGUGGCGAAGGCGGCUUUCUGGACUGUAACUGACGCUGAGGCGCGAAAGCGUGGGGAGCAAACAGG